AACUAGCCAUAGCAGUAGGCACAUGACACAAAUUUUGCGUUUUAACAAAGUUGCAAGGCCGAGGUAUCAAAGUAGAAAGGCAUGUGCUGAUGCUGAACUGAGGCAGGCAUGGGCGUGGUUGGUUGCUGAGGAGGUUGACCUGUGAAUGGAGCAGUUCCGGCCAUGUGGCAGGUAUCCGCGUGGUACUGCACGGAUUGCGGCGUGGCAAAUUGUUGUCCUGGCGGUGGUAGGUUGUCCAACGAAGCAUUUGCAGAAAUCGGCAUUGGUCCCGCACUGCACGGAGAUCCGUAAGAGGCUCGAAAACGUCCGGCAAAAUCGGCGUAAUCGUCGAGUGAGAGGCAUCGUGUUGCAGUCCUGGUGGGUGUACAUCACCCACAACACAAUGCAUGUCGAUCACAAAAUCUGGCAUUAUGCUCUGGUACAAAGUCAUUGUUCGAAUGCUGUGUCGAUGUAAUUCACACGAAAAUAACCGACGCGGAGGUCGCGGACUCAGUAAAACGGCGAAAACAGAAGACAUUACAACUCAGGGUCACCAGUGAGGGAGAAGUUCGGGUUAGUUACACCAAACAACCCCCAUUUCGCAAUAGUUCAUUUAUUCACCCAAACACAAGCAAGGCUCACAAAGAACUGAACAUGACGGAACAGGCCAAAGAUAUGAAUUUUAUGAGAGUUACAUUUCAAUAUACUGCUGUGAUUUUUCUCUUAAACUCUUUGUCACUAUACUUUUUAU
Long non-coding RNA from Schistocerca serialis cubense, 730 nucleotides. RefSeq lists it as uncharacterized. Lineage: Eukaryota; Metazoa; Arthropoda; Insecta; Orthoptera; Acrididae. The record is from RefSeq and is a predicted model, not a curated record. The transcript is spliced from 3 exons.